This 1158-nucleotide long non-coding RNA is filed under the name Jatropha curcas. Its description in RNAcentral is "long non-coding RNA (JCUR_LNC000224)". The record is from RNAcentral. Lineage: Eukaryota; Viridiplantae; Streptophyta; Magnoliopsida; Malpighiales; Euphorbiaceae.
GAUUAUAUGGUAGCACCAGAGCAAGAAAUCAGUCUUGGGUGAUAAUGAGUUACCAAGAAGAGCAUAUUGUUUUAGGCCCUUAGAAAUAAGCAAGAAAAUUAUGAAUUUUUGGUUUUAAAAUUCUUAGGUCAGUUAACAGUUGCAAAUACACCAUGUUGACAGCAAAAUAACCAAAUGACUGCUUUUACAUUCAAUUGCAAUUCAGGUUCUACAAACAAGCACAUUAAUUGAGCUUUUUGGACAAAAAAGCUACUACCGCAACUAACCAAAUAAGCACAUUAAACAUCAUUGAGGUUCUACUUAAGCGCAACCUUGUGCAUUAAGCAUAUUAACACAAUUCCUACACAAAAACACUUCAACCAACUAGCCUCAUUUUCUUCUUUUCCUUCAUACUGGAAAUUAAGUGUACUAUUGCUAUGAGUGAGAAGCAACAUUUGGGCCUUCAAUUCUUUCUUAGAUGCUUUCUUCUACUCUACCUUCUCUGCCUCAUUCAUUUUUCUUUCCAGCUCCAAAUUUUUCUCCUUCAACAUUUGCGCAAUAGUUUUCAACCCAUCAAUUCUUGCAAACAUGUUGUUUACAAUCUCCAUGCUCCUGGGUGGAAGUUCACUGUCCAUCCACCUAAAGAAGUCAUAAUUUUUAGGGUCCCCUUCCCGAAACAAUUAACAUGAAAUUGACAUUGGUAUGUGUAGACCAAAGUACUAGUGAAAAGAGAAAAUAGGAAGCAAUUCCUAUUGUUUUACCUUCUUUAUCCAAUAUGGGCAUCGACAGAAUUGUCUACUUAGAUUUGUUCUACUCCACGAUGUCAUUAUUUGGACGGGAAGAUUACGCCGACAUCUCAGUCUAGAUCAAGCAACAAUGGAGUUCACUGACCUAGCGCUAUCUUCACUUUCAGAUUCCAUAAACGUAUUCAAGGAUACAACUCAACAAAAACGGCAAGAAAGUUAGCAAAUCAAAAGCAAGAAGAGGAGAUGAGAUUAGGGAUUUGGGCUACUGCGACUCACCAUUAUCGCAAAGGAAGAAGGAGAAGAAGAAAUAGGAGAGGUAGAGAGAAGAGAAUCAGGUUUAGGGAUUAGGGAUUUUGGGGGAAAAACGAGUUAGUGAAACAGCGAGUAUCGAUAUCAAAAUAGUGCGUUUUGAUACCUUGGUUAAGUUAACCCG